RNAcentral lists this transfer RNA (71 nucleotides) under bovine gut metagenome. It matches the Rfam family "tRNA". From Rfam's summary of the family: Transfer RNA (tRNA) molecules are approximately 80 nucleotides in length. Their secondary structure includes four short double-helical elements and three loops (D, anti-codon, and T loops). The record is from RNAcentral.
GGGCUAUAGCGCAGUUGGUAGCGCGCUACAUUCGCAUUGUAGAGGUCAGGGGUUCGAAUCCCCUUAGCUCC